AUCCUUUUGUGAUUCAUAAGUGUGAUGAUUGAGUUUUCAUGCUCAUGUGUGAGAUGUGCCCCCCCAAACCUGUCACAGCAUCUGCUCAUUAUCAAAUAUGAAA
This is a small nucleolar RNA of Callithrix jacchus (white-tufted-ear marmoset), 103 nucleotides long. The record is from Ensembl. NCBI's taxonomy places the organism in Eukaryota, Metazoa, Chordata, Mammalia, Primates, Cebidae.